CGUCAGGCGGCGGGCGAUGCAGGCCUGCUGCUCAACUCAACUUUUAAAUGCAGGACUGUAUUUGAUACCGCGAAGGACAAAACCACGAACUACAUACACGAUUCAGUCAAAAGCAUCAGUUCCUCACGGCUGAACAGGACUAGCAGCUGUACUCUGUGCUCCUUCUGAAUCACAGAAAACUUCAGCCUGUCAUGGGGAGUGAGCCCAGAAAUCAUCUUCAUCACCAAGGACCUCCUCCAGAUCAGCCUUGCUGGUGUGUGCAGCUGGACAUGCCUUCGCUCUGCAGAGCUUUGUGGUCUAGGUUCAGACCAAACUGGGCCAGAAGCAGAACAUCAGGUACGAAUAGCAGGGAUGUCACUUUUGGCCCCCUGCACCAGAUGCUCUUCCAGCUACGCCUGUGUCAUGAUAUGAUGUAGAUGAAAAUUACAAGCAGGAGUGGAGGUAAGACACACCAUUGUUUACGCCAAUACUGACUCUAAGCGGCUUCAAUUUAGUGCCAAGGAUGCAGACACAACUCUUACUGCAUUCAUUCAGGGACCAAAUAGCAUGCAAUAGUGGCACCAGGACCCCAAAUUCCUGCAGUAGCCCCAAGGUAUGUGCCAGGGAACAUGAUUAUACUACAGAAAGCACAUGUAGAGUGUGCUAGCAUAUUCUCACAGAGCUGUCAAAGGAGUCGAGUUUGUCCACUACGUGACCAUGUCAGAAUGCACAUUGUUCCUCCUGAAUCCUAGGUUCAAAUAUGAAGUGGAGCUAGAAGAGUUUGCCAUCCCAGAUGCACUUUACCCACCUUCUGUGCAAUAUCAAGCAAAGGACCCCAACAGAACUGCUUUCUGUGUCUCUGGAUGGAUGUUAUCUCUGCAGCCUUUCCACCACAAAGUCAUGUGAUCGCUAUCAUCUUUUCAGCUGGUGUGGAGCGGCAGCUCUGAUCCACCAGAAGUUUCAUACUUCUGGUUCCUGCCAGUAACCUUCCUCAGAGCCCUGACCUUUGGGGUCUUAAAUUCAGCUCCGUUGCAGCGUGUCCCUCUUCAUAGACAGCUGGUUACGAGCCUUGGGAGAACCGCAAAAGUAUGAAAAAAAAAAGGGAGAGGAGGGAAAGCCAGAGAAGGUCCGUCCAAAGCGCCCGGCCCGGGUUGCUUUUACUUCUUCCGUUCCUGCAUUUCUUCCACGUCGAGUGGAGAUUUACGCUAACGAGGGCCGGGGCGGAAGAGAGGCCAGGCUGCUCGCUGGGAAUGGAAGAAACAGAGGAGAGCACAAUGACUCGAUAGGCAGCGGCGGUGGGCCUCAAUCGGACACGCUGCUGUCUAAAUGACGGGUGUUAGGAAUGAUUUACGACGGGUAACCAGGCAACGUGGGAUGAUCCGGCUGCUCGUUAUCCCGGCUAGCUCAUUAUCCCCAGUAUUCCGCUCCUGCUGAAACCUACACCCUGUGACCAUAAACUCCAGCCACACAGUUAACCAGGAACUGUUUUCUCCGACAACCUUUUAAAUGAACUCGUUAAGGUAACGGGGAGUGGAUAAACAGAGCCAUCUGCACCCUUUGUGCUGGAUCACAGACUUCUCUGCCACUCUGACUGCGAUGCUCCACUUUGCCGGGAUGUUUUGGGCCGUCUGGACGAUGCUGGUGUGAUCUCACUGUCAGGAAGGUGACCUCUGCGUUCUGGUCGUCUCCUGGCUCCCUUGUCAGAAGUUCCCCUCCAAAGACUUACACGCUCACAUGCACGUGCGCACACGCACACACACACACACACACGCUGCAUCCUUUACUCCCCCAUGCACCAUCUCUCUCCGCUUUUCUGUCGCUGUUCCCACGUACACAAACACAAAACGCUUGGCCGCCCUCCACGUCACAUAUGUGCAAUUAGCCAUUAAAAAAAGAACACAGAUAAAAGAAUUAUGGAACUGCAAAGGCAGUGUACCAUGAUAUCGAGGUACAGAAGUUUCCAGAACAGCUUUCCUGUAAACAGCAAUUGAUGGGCACCUCUUCUAGGACACAUUUGCAUGCGGCUUCAUGUUGCUUAAAAGUGCUCAACAUAUAAACGCGUUUAAACUGCACAGCAUGGUGCCGAUAUGCAGAAAACUGGACUUCUGACAAUCAGAAGCUCAUGGUUGCGAUCAUGAGCCAGAAAUGCAUUAAAUCCCUUUGAAUCGCUCUCACUUUCGGUCACUGAAAUAUCGUAUGGAUCCUCGCACUUCUUACCUUGCCUGUCCUUAAUUCCUAUCUCAGAAAUAAGCAAUUUUACAGAGUUUAAGCUGUAGAGAGCGAGGAACAUAAAGCCUGUAAAUCUGGUGAUAAAAACAUUGAGCUGUCAGAGGUGCCACCGGCCAUCAAUCGUGCGCCGCAAGCUGAUGAAGGAGAAAUAGGUGAUAAAAACAGCAUUUUAGCAAAAUUAUGCCCGGCCUUCCAUUUGCAAAGUGCUGCAGUCACAUCGCAGUAGAAUUUUAAUCACGGGGCUGGUGCAGGGGGGAGUCUGCAGUGUGUCAGAAAGGAGAAAGAAAGGGGGGAACUGAGAGAGAGAGAAAUAGAGGACAGGACAGCAAGACGGGGAAAGGGAGCCACGGAGGAGGCUGGACAUCACUGGAAGAGGAUAAAAUGAACUGGACAGGCUGCCUCGCAGGCCAACUGCACUGGCGGAAUUUCAGGGGGGGGCUCUUGGCAACUGGAACAGCAAACGUUAUGAGGAUGGUAUCUAGAUGCUUGGGAAAGGAUCUGCUGUGUAUUAAUCUCUUAUUAAAUCCUAUGCCUUUUGCUCCGUCCCCUCCCUGUACUCCAUCUCUCUCUCCUGCAUAAAAUUAUCAUAAAAAUUGUUUUUGGUUUUGCAGAUAGAAAAGCAGACAGAAGUUAAACCACAUCACAAAUCACAGAGGCGAACGGCCUCCAUGUCGAGCGCGAGCAGAACGGCAGUAAAUCGUACGCCGAACUAGUUUCUUGUUUAUUUAAAAUAGAUAGUAAGCGUUUUAAAACUGAAUAUCUUAGGUCUUACCCAAUUGUCAUAAAUCAAGGUGCUUUAGUCUCUGGAUGGUCUGGAAUGGCUGGAACAGUCUGUGAUAAUGAAUAACCACAUCGUUAAGGCUGGAACAUUCUGUGACAGUUUGGUUAAAUAUUGCAGUCUUAUGUCUUUCUGUCAACUGAGGAUUAUCCGCUGUCCGUAAAUUUGUUUUAGGUCUUGGGGAGUUGUGUAAAUUCAGGUAUUUUCUCCAACCUAAUUACAUAAUUACCUUGUUAGCUCGUAAUUUUUGAUGCAUUUCAGGCAUUACACUUGAACGUUACACACUUGAUGUGUUUGGAAGGUGAGAUGUCGAUUCUUACCGCGUUUUACAUCAUAUUGAGAGUAAUAAACCAGCUUUGCAAACAGAGCUAAUCCACUGAGAUUGUAUGAGCACUUUUUCUUAUUUAAAAUAUUGCUGAAUUCAAUUUGUGUUUGGUUGAAAUUUCAACUGAGAUCUUAUGACCUUUUCCAUGCUUUCCUUGUGCCUUUCAGCAUGUUGUUACUUUUCUCUUUAGGUAAUAAUCUUAUUUGGAAUGUUUCUCCAUGGCCUUGGCCAACGGAAUUCCUGCAGGAUUUAAAACUGGUUUCUGCAGGGUUUCUGACAGCUGAACCGGGGUAAUGAACUCUGUUACAGCGAGCUGAUGUUGCUGCAUCAUUGGCUGUAUCAGGUGGGUGUGGCCUCUGGUUCGGCGAAUCCAUGUGAAGAGCAUACAUCUGGGUAGCCUCCUGGCAUUAACUAGGAAACACUGCAGACUACCUAAGGUUUAGUGAACUGGAAGCCAAGAUGAACAAAAAAAAUAAAUAAAGUUUAGGCUGACUUGUGGAGUCGCCAGAGAAUUUAAUUAAAUUUAUCGUCAUACGGUUUCUUUUCCAACAAUUUCCCCGUAGCACUUAACAAAGAUUCGGCAACCACCAAAUAAGUGAGUUUGAACCAGAUGAGAAGAGACGUGUGGGCAAACAUAACUUUAAUCAAUACUUACACAACGUGAAGUAGAGACUCAAAUGAGGUGGGAUUAAGAGUCAGAAAAAGGCCAGGGAUUGAAAGAGAGCAGAGCGGGCAGUAAAUUGUGAUAUGAAGUAAUGCAGACAAGUACUUUCUUCCUGGCUGAAAUGGGAAAAAGGGAAUUGAAAGGGUUUCUAGACAUAGUUUCCAUUGCAGUUUGUAUGCGUGUGUCUGCCGGGGAGAAGGGGUCUCUAAGAGGAGAGCAGAGCAGAGAGGAGGAGAGGAGAGAAGAGGAGAGAAGAAGAGAGAAGAAGAGAGGAUAGAAGAGGAGAACAGAGUAGAGAGGAAGAGAGGAGGUGAGGAGAGAAGAGGAGAGAAGAGCAGAAGUGAGGAGAGAAGAGGAGAGCAGAGAGGAGGAGAGAAGAAGAGAGGAGAGCAGAGCAGAGAGGAGGAGAGAAGAGGAGAGUAGAGAGGAGAGCAGAGCAGAGAGGAGGAGAGGAGAGCAGAGUAGAGAGGACGAGAGGAGAGAAGAGGAGAGCAAAGAGGAAGAGAGGAGAGCAGAGGAGAGAGGAAGAGAGGAGAGAAGAGCAGAGCAGAGAGGAGAGAAGAGGAGAGAAGAAGAGAGGAUAGAAGAGGAGAGCAGAGUAGAGAGGAUAGAAGAAGAGAGGAAGAGAGAAGAGGAGAGCAGAGGAGAGAGGAAGAGAGGAGAUAAGAGGAGAGCAGAAGAGAGGAUAGAAGAGGAGAGCAGAGUAGAGAGGAUAGAAGAGGAGAGCAGAGCAGAGAGGAGGAGAGAAGAGGAGAGCAGAGUAGAGAGGAAGAGAGGAGAGAAGAGGAGAGCAGAGAGGAACAGAGGAGAGAAGAGGAGAGCAGAGCAGAGAGGAACAGAGGAGAGCAGAGCAGAGAGGAACAGAGGAGAGCAGAGGAGAGAGGAUGAGAGGAGAGCAGAGUAGAGAGGAAGAGAGAAGAGAAGAGGAGAGCAGAGGAGAGAGGAUGAGAGGAGAGAAGAGCAGAGUAGAGAGGAAGAGAGGAGAGCAGAGUAGAGAGGAAGAGAGGAGAGCAGAGGAGAGGCUGUUUCAGACUAGAGAGCAGAGGAAUGGAGAGGUGCCUGUCUGUAGGUGUGCAGAAGGUCAGUCCAAAACACAUCAAGUGUGCAUCACCCUCAUCAGACAGAUCGCUAACGAUCCACUAAGUCCAUCUAAAGGAUGUGUGAUGCAGACAGAAUCAUUGCUGGGAGUGAUAAAGCCAGUGAUGGGGGCAGAGAGGAGCUGCUUUGCAGCCAAGACCUACAGAGCUCAGAGCUGCAGACAGGGCCUGGCGGGGGAUCAGCCACAAGACCGACGCUGCAUCCUCCCUCUCCUCCUUCUCCCCUUGCAGUCAGCACCUUCACCCAUCCCCCACCCCCCACGACCGAAGUGGAGCCCAAA
Long non-coding RNA from Brienomyrus brachyistius, 5353 nucleotides. RefSeq lists it as uncharacterized. NCBI's taxonomy places the organism in Eukaryota, Metazoa, Chordata, Actinopteri, Osteoglossiformes, Mormyridae. The transcript has 6 exons. The record is from RefSeq and is a predicted model, not a curated record.